RNAcentral lists this long non-coding RNA (590 nucleotides) under Mus musculus (house mouse). RNAcentral's name for it is "predicted gene 14210 (Gm14210)". The record is from RNAcentral. Lineage: Eukaryota; Metazoa; Chordata; Mammalia; Rodentia; Muridae.
GGAGUUGUCCUCCAACUGCUUCUCUCUGCCCUGAUGACACCUGACUCUCCAGACAAACCACAAAAUAUGCAAAGGAAGGAAGCAGCUGAUGUUCCAGGUGUGGAAGUCCAAGGUCAUCGGUGGUUUCUGUCCCGGCAGAGUUUAUUCCAAUCCACAGUGCUGGGCAAGCCGCCUCUUCCCACCUGAGGACAGCAAAGACGGGGCAUCCGCUGUUCUGUUAACUAUGGAGAAGCAGGCUCUUCCAGGACCACUGAGCAACCCCUUCCCAGGGACUUCAACACCAGCAUCUCAUGAGCAUCGGGUGAAAGCUGCCUAAGAUACCUACCAGCUGUAGGUGCAAGAGCUAAAAGUCCACAGAACUUUCCUGGACUCUUCCUGUUUCUUCAAAGCUUAAGAGGGAACUGGAAUUUGAAUAAAUCACAAUGUGCAUAAUAGUGUCUCACAUGCUUAAGUGAGAGGCAGAACAAGCUUAAGCCUGUACUGCAGUAUAAAACUGACAUUUUGUUUUCAAAUGUAUCCUUCUGUAAUUCUGGUUAAUGUUUCUCUUCUGCAAGGUUUCAGUUUAAAAUAAACACAAGUUCUUCUCUAAA